RNAcentral lists this unclassified non-coding RNA (229 nucleotides) under uncultured Rhizopogon. Its description in RNAcentral is "sequence contains ITS2". Lineage: Eukaryota; Fungi; Basidiomycota; Agaricomycetes; Boletales; Rhizopogonaceae. The record is from RNAcentral.
AUUUCUCAACCCCUUUCAAUUGACUUUGAUUGGGAGCUUGGAUAGUGGGGGUUUGCAGGAAACUUGGAUCUUUUCUUUCAUUAGAAAAAGUCUAGGAUUCGGGCUCUCCUGAAAUACAUUGGCUUGCGGGUCUACUUUCGACUUUGUGCGAUAAGGCUUUCGGUGUGAUAAUGAUCACCGUGUGCUGAAGUGCAUAACUGUAAAGUUCCGUGCCUCUAAUAUUGUCGAU